UCCCUUCUGCUCAAAGAAAGGAGAUUCUAACUCCUACUAUUAACUCCCAAA
This 51-nucleotide transfer RNA is filed under the name Centropomus pectinatus. Its description in RNAcentral is "partial tRNA-Pro". The record is from RNAcentral. Lineage: Eukaryota; Metazoa; Chordata; Actinopteri; Centropomidae.